CCCUUAGAUGUUCUGGGCCGCACGCGUGCUACACUGAGUGGAUCAGCGGGUCAGGUUGCGCGAAAGCGUUUCCUAAUCUUUAAAUCCGCUCGUGAUGGGGAUUGACGGUUGCAAUUUUCUGUCAUGAACGAGGAAUACCUUGUAAGCGCGGGUCAUCAUCCCGCGCUGAAUACGUCCCUGCCCUUUGUACACACCGCCCGUCGCUCCUACCGAUUGAACGUUCCGGUGAGACCUUGGGAUUUGGUCUUUGGUACUUUAUUGUGCCGUUGACCGAAAAACUUGAGCAAACCUUAACGUUUAGAGGAAGGUGAAGUCGUAACA
Molecule: ribosomal RNA, 321 nt
Filed under: uncultured eukaryote
Lineage: Eukaryota
Description: partial 18S ribosomal RNA
Rfam family: Eukaryotic small subunit ribosomal RNA
Source: RNAcentral